GGAAAAGCAUAGGCAAGUAAUACUAUUGGUCUAUAAAUCAGUUUGUACCAGAAAUUUCGUACUUUUGCAACUUUUACACAGGAACAAUGGAGUACUUCACAAUUUCGCACAAAAAUAUAUACAUCUUAUCUCAGAUGGGGGAAAACUGAGAUGAUGAUGAUAUAUGCAUGACAUUAAGGGGGAAUAAUUCAUGGCCAUCACUGUUGAGAAAUAAUGUUUAAGCCAUUCGACCUCAAUUAAUUGGAUAAGCAAUGAUUUGCUGAAACCUGUUGAACAACACAAAAUCUUCACGUUAGCUUUACCUUCUCAUUGAGAGAGUUCAAGGAUCUCUCUCACAUCAGAAGCCAUAGGAUCCAUUGCAGCCUCUGUUACGCUGUCAUCCAUUGGAGGCAAUGGACGAUAAUAUAAGCUAUGUUCUUCCUUUUCCAAACCUUUAAACACCCACACCUGACUGCUACAAGCUGGGUCCUUGAACGACGUUUAGAUAGUGCAUUUACAGAAUGAACAUUGCAACCAAAAGAUAAAACAGAGGCUGGCCAUCAGACUUUCAAUAGACAAUAGGUCUUUGCGCCCCAUAGAAAUCAUAUAAUUGACCCAUUUUCUUCAACCACUAUAGUUAUGACCUCUGCAAGCAUCACUAAUCACAGAAAUUAGUACUGACAUUUAAUUCUCAUGGCAACUAAGAAUACAUCAAAACUUCUUGCUUAGCAUUACAUAAUCCAAAUUUUCAAAUUAUGCGUAUAUUCCAGAAGACAAAGGAAUAUAAUACGCUUAAUAGUAUUAACCCCAAUGUAUUUACUGUUUAACAAGACUGUCCAAUAAAAUAAGAAUUAAAAUUGACCACGGACAUACAAUUCCAAAUUAUUGGAUGAAAAACACAAUUAUUUUUUACCAAGAAAAAUAUUUACAGUGCUGAGAUACAAAAUAUUUUACGUCAAGAGGAAUUCUCAAAAGAGCUACACGAUAGCCUAGUCGGAUAAACAUUUCCAAAAUCAUUUUUCCACAGAAUAACUACAAUAGAAAAAGUUUCCAGCAACGAUUUUUUUCACUAAUGGUAAACACACGUAAAUCGAUUUCACUUAACUAUGACUGAGAAACAGAUGUUCCAAAUAUUCGAACAAAAACAGAAGAGGAAAGCAACUAGGCUGUCUACAAUAGAACAUAAAUAAAAAUCAAUUAUUGUUCACAACUGAAUAAUUAUUCUUUACGAAUAUUCUGCACUGAGGAAAUCUGUGGCUUAAUCCUUGCAUUCUAUCUCUAAUCGACCAAAUCAGGGUUAAAUAGAAAAGUAUAAAAACCUAUCAAAAUUGAACACUCUUCUUUCUUGGGUUAGAAUAGAAUACAAACCCCUAACUCCGGAAUGCCUCGGAUUAUGACGGAAGAGAGUAGCACCGUGCGAUAAAAUUUUGGUAGGUAAUUGAACGAUUGUUGAAUGAUUGAAUGGUUGCUUGAACGGGGAAAGCUGAAAGAGAAAGAGUAAGUAGACGAUAAGUACAAUUAAUUCAAAUUUUCAUUUCGCUUAUUCCCUAACGCCACAUAGAUUCUCCAGCCAGGCUGAAUAGCAUUACUCAAGGUGAAAAUAAAUUGAACUGCAGGGGGAGGUUUGGAACCUCUAGAGGGAGAAGAGGGAUAAUUUAGUCAAUAGCGACUAAACUUUAGUAUAAGUUACUAAUUGUUCAUUAAAUUUUGCUAUAAAUUAUUAUUCCUCACUGAAAUUUAAAAUACUACUCAUUACUCACCCAAAUUCAAACAAAAUUACUCAUGGUUCACUGAACUUUGGAUGAAAAUGAUAAUGAGUUAUUGAUGAGUAAUCUUUG
Molecule: long non-coding RNA, 1817 nt
Filed under: Olea europaea subsp. europaea
Lineage: Eukaryota; Viridiplantae; Streptophyta; Magnoliopsida; Lamiales; Oleaceae
Source: RNAcentral